UUAAAGUUUUAUUUUGGCUUGAGGUUUUAUUAUUGAUUUAUUUUAUAUGUAAGUUUUUGCGUGUAUAUUUACUUAUUUUAAUAGUAAGUGGAGUUUAUUUGUAGUCUCAGUAAGAAGAAUUAUAAAUCAAGGAGGCUUGGAUAUAGUAAUUUCAUUUAGUAUUGGCUAAAUUUGUGCCAGCAGCCGCGGUUACACAAAUAAUGCAAAUAAAACUGUUUCAGUAUGAGUUUAAAUGUUUGUUAGAAAUAGUGUUGGAUUUGUUAGGUGAAAUUUUAAAUCUAAGAAUUUUUAUUUUAAGUGAUUUUGAGGCUUGUAAAUUUUAAUUAUAAACUAGGAUUAGAUACCCUAUUAUUUAAAAUGUAGUUAUAAGUGCUAGAGUAGUAGUAGUUAUGUUCUUGAAACUUAAAAAAUUUGGCGGUAUUUUAGUCUGUUCAGAGGAAUCUGUCCUGUAAUUGAUAAUCCGCGAUGAACCCCACUUGAUCUUGUUUUUCAGUUUAUAUACCGUCGUUAUCAGAAUAUUUUAUUAGAAUAAUAAUUUUCUAUAUUUUAUAUUAGAACUUAUAUCAGAUCAAGGUGUAGCUUAUGGUUAAGGAGAGAUGGAUUACAGUGUUUUUAUUUAUACGGAUCUAAUUUUGAAAUAUAUUAGUGAAGGUGGAUUUGAUAGUAAAAUUUUGUAGAUUGUAGAUUUGAUUUUGGCUCUAGAAUAUGCACACAUCGCCCGUCGCUCUUGCUAUUAAGGCAAGAUAAGUCGUAACAUAGUAGAUGUACCGGAAGGUGUAUCUAGAAAGA
Molecule: non-coding RNA, 789 nt
Filed under: Bactrocera minax (Chinese citrus fly)
Lineage: Eukaryota; Metazoa; Arthropoda; Insecta; Diptera; Tephritidae
Source: RNAcentral